RNAcentral lists this non-coding RNA (28 nucleotides) under Mus musculus (house mouse). The record is from RNAcentral. Lineage: Eukaryota; Metazoa; Chordata; Mammalia; Rodentia; Muridae. RNAcentral also lists the same sequence under 1 other name.
UUGAGAAAAUGAACGGGAUGUUCCUAAA